RNAcentral lists this long non-coding RNA (1474 nucleotides) under Capra hircus (goat). RNAcentral describes it as "lncRNA (ENSCHIG00000007558.1)". Lineage: Eukaryota; Metazoa; Chordata; Mammalia; Artiodactyla; Bovidae. The record is from RNAcentral.
UGCUUCUGUCCCCUCCGCCUCUGCGUUUCUCGUCUGCAUUCUUCUCCGCGCGCUUUCCUCCUGCGGGGCUCGGGAGUCGGCCGGUGCGUCCUCUCCGCUGUCGCGCGGCCUCCUGGGCUCCAUCGCCCCCCUCUCAGGGACACGAUUACCUCCCCCUUCGAUCGGCCCCAGGUUGUCAGGCGGCCCCACGACAGCCUGGCAGGGUGAGCGGUGUCCCCAGUUUAUGAACGAGGAUUCAGGCACCACCGACUCCAGAUCACGAAGACUGCACCGUCCGUGGGCGAAGACAGAGCUGGGUCCAGCACUCUUUCCAGCGGGGAAAUGACACGACCCAGUUCGUGUGCUCUAGAGCUCAGCGCUAUGCACCCAAUGUGGCCCCAAGAAAGACAGAGACAAGCACCCCGGGAGCCUGAGGGCACGUCUCCCUGCGGCGACAGGGGGCAGGCCCCAUCCCAGCAGUGGAAGAGAGGAGGGGGCCGGGAGGCCCUGGUGGAUGCGUCUCAGAAGCAGCCCACGACCGUACUGGUGCCCUUUGCUCUGGUCCGGCUCUCCUCUGGGAUGUCCCGAGUGGCUUCGCUGGACGUCAUUCUCCUGCAGGACCUGGAGGAGGGAAGCACUGGGCCCCAGGACCCCCAAGCCAAUCAUCUGAGCCUGGGGCUCUCAGGGCCGAGAAAAGACCAGGGGUUUGGGUGUGCGAGCGGGUGUGCCUCUGUGUGUCUAUGUCCGUGUGCCUCUGUGUGUAUCUGUGUGUGCGUCUGUGUGUCUGCAGACCUCUCCCAGCCGCAGAGAGGGAGGCUUGACCCCUCGGCCCAAGGAGGUGGUGGUAAACUCAGGGUGCCUCCCCGCCGAGCCUCUCGUGUCCUGCCGCCGCCGCGGGAGGGGCCUGCCUCAGCUACUCCCGGGCUCACAGGGGCCUGAGCCGGCGGGCGCCGAGGACCCGGGCCCCACCGACACUGGCCUAGGAGCGCAGCCUCAGUCUCACUGCCCGGUCGGUUCUGCCCAAGGUCACCGCGCGCCGCUCUGAUUCCCUGCCCCCGCGCCCCUCGCCUGUUCUCCGCGUCUCGGCCUCUCGCCGCCCCCCUUCCCGGAGCCGCUCUCGGGGCUCCAGCUCCCGGAGCCGCAGCGUCAGCACAUCCGGGCCUCGCUCGGUUUGGUUCUGAGUUUUCUUAAAUCGUGAAAAUCCAUUUCCCCAAAUGGGCGGGAGCUGAGCCUCGCUUCGUCCAGGGGCGGUCGGCCGGCCGCCCCGUCCCCACCCCCAGCGCGACCCCCGAGGCCCGGCAUUGAUCCCGCAGCAUGUGCACAUCGCAUUAGUCCUAAUGGUUUCGCUGAUGAUUCAACUUUUUCGUUAAAAGCCACCCCUCCAUCCUCACCGCUCCCCUGCCUCCGCCUCUGCCGGCCGCGGGCCCCUCCGCGGCGCGCCCGCCCAGAGCUUCCUUGGCCGGUAGAGACGCGGCUCCUGCAACCCGGGUCUGCC